Molecule: transfer RNA, 27 nt
Filed under: Ranoidea cyclorhynchus (spotted-thighed treefrog)
Lineage: Eukaryota; Metazoa; Chordata; Amphibia; Anura; Pelodryadidae
Also listed under: 1 other name
Description: Litoria cyclorhyncha (spotted-thighed treefrog) partial tRNA-Phe
Source: RNAcentral
GAUGAACCCUAAAAAGUUCUUUAAACA